RNAcentral lists this ribosomal RNA (390 nucleotides) under uncultured bacterium. RNAcentral describes it as "bacterial SSU rRNA". It matches the Rfam family "Bacterial small subunit ribosomal RNA", at positions 28 to 419 of the family's 1533-position model. The record is from RNAcentral.
GACGAACGCUGGCGGCGUGCUUAACACAUGCAAGUCGAACGGUAAGGCCCUUCGGGUACGACGAGUGGCGAACGGGUGGAGUAACACGUGGGUGAUCUGCCCUGCACUUUGGGAUAAGCCUGGGAAACUGGGUCUAAUACCGAAUAUGACCUCGGACUUCACGGUUUGUGGUGGAAAGCUUUUGCGGUGUGGGAUGGCCCGCGGCCUAUCAGCUUGUUGGUGGGGUAAUGGCCCUACCAAGGCGACGACGGGUUAGCCGGCCUGAGAGGGUGUCCGGCCACACUGGGACUGAGAUACGGCCCAGACUCCUACGGGAGGCAGCAGUAGGGAAUAUUGCACAAAUGGGCGCAAGCCUGAUGCAGCGACGCCGCGUGGGGGAUGACGGCCUUC